Molecule: transfer RNA, 73 nt
Filed under: Candidatus Eiseniibacteriota bacterium
Lineage: Bacteria; Candidatus Eiseniibacteriota
Description: tRNA-Lys
Rfam family: tRNA
About the family: Transfer RNA (tRNA) molecules are approximately 80 nucleotides in length. Their secondary structure includes four short double-helical elements and three loops (D, anti-codon, and T loops).
Source: RNAcentral
GAGCCGCUAGCUCAGUCGGUAGAGCAACUGCCUUUUAAGCAGACGGUCCCGGGUUCGAUUCCCGGGCGGCUCA